RNAcentral lists this ribosomal RNA (492 nucleotides) under uncultured bacterium. RNAcentral describes it as "partial 16S ribosomal RNA". It matches the Rfam family "Bacterial small subunit ribosomal RNA", at positions 29 to 507 of the family's 1533-position model. The record is from RNAcentral.
AGUGAACGCUGGCGGUAGGCCUAACACAUGCAAGUCGAACGGCAGCACAGUAAGAGCUUGCUCUUACGGGUGGCGAGUGGCGGACGGGUGAGGAAUACAUCGGAAUCUACUUUUUCGCGGGGGAUAACGUAGGGAAACUUACGCUAAUACCGCAUACGACCUACGGGUGAAAGCCGGGGAUCUUCGGACCUUGCGCGAUUGAAUGAGCCGAUGUCGGGUUAGCUAGUUGGCGGGGUAAAGGCCCACCAAGGCGACGAUCCGUAGCUGGUCUGAGAGGAUGAUCAGCCACACUGGAACGGAGACACGGUCCAGACUCCUACGGGAGGCAGCAGUGGGGAAUAUUGGACAAUGGGCGCAAGCCUGAUCCAGCCAUACCGCGUGGGUGAAGAAGGCCUUCGGGUUGUAAAGCCCUUUUGUUGGGAAAGAAAAGCAGCAGGUUAAUACCCCGCUGUUCUGACGGUACCCAAAGAAUAAGCACCGGCUAACUUCGUG